CAUGCCUUACACAUGCAAGUCGAACGGCAGCACGGACUUCGGUCUGGUGGCGAGUGGCGAACGGGUGAGUAAUGUAUCGGAACGUACCUUUCAGUGGGGGAUAACGUAGCGAAAGUUACGCUAAUACCGCAUAUUCUGUGAGCAGGAAGGCAGGGGAUCGCAAGACCUUGCGCUGAUUGAGCGGCCGAUAUCAGAUUAGCUAGUUGGUGAGGUAAAGGCUCACCAAGGCGACGAUCUGUAGCGGGUCUGAGAGGAUGAUCCGCCACACUGGAACUGAGACACGGUCCAGACUCCUACGGGAGGCAGCAGUGGGGAAUUUUGGACAAUGGGGGCAACCCUGAUCCAGCCAUGCCGCGUGAGUGAAGAAGGCCUUCGGGUUGUAAAGCUCUUUCGGCCGGGAAGAAAUCGCAUGGGCUAAUACCCUGUGCGGAUGACGGUACCGGCAUAAGAAGCACCGGCUAACUACGUGCCAGCAGCCGCGGUAAUACGUAGGGUGCGAGCGUUAAUCGGAAUUACUGGGCGUAAAGCGUGCGCAGGCGGUUUUUUAAGACAGGCGUGAAAUCCCCGGGCUCAACCUGGGAACUGCGCUUGUGAC
RNAcentral lists this ribosomal RNA (595 nucleotides) under uncultured Dechloromonas sp. Its description in RNAcentral is "bacterial SSU rRNA". It matches the Rfam family "Bacterial small subunit ribosomal RNA", at positions 43 to 633 of the family's 1533-position model. The record is from RNAcentral. Lineage: Bacteria; Pseudomonadati; Pseudomonadota; Betaproteobacteria; Rhodocyclales; Azonexaceae.